GCCUGGGUGGCUCAGUCGGUUGAACUUCUGACUUCGGCUCAGGUCUUGAUCUUGCAGUCCGUGGGUUCAAGCCCCACGUCAGGCA
This 85-nucleotide transfer RNA is filed under the name Felis catus (domestic cat). It matches the Rfam family "tRNA". Rfam says of the family: Transfer RNA (tRNA) molecules are approximately 80 nucleotides in length. Their secondary structure includes four short double-helical elements and three loops (D, anti-codon, and T loops). Further hydrogen bonds mediate the characteristic L-shaped molecular structure. tRNAs have two regions of fundamental functional importance: the anti-codon, which is responsible for specific mRNA codon recognition, and the 3' end, to which the tRNAs corresponding amino acid is attached (by aminoacyl-tRNA synthetases). tRNAs cope with the degeneracy of the genetic code in two manners: having more than one tRNA (with a specific anti-codon) for a particular amino acid; and 'wobble' base-pairing, i.e. permitting non-standard base-pairing at the 3rd anti-codon position. The record is from Rfam by way of RNAcentral. Lineage: Eukaryota; Metazoa; Chordata; Mammalia; Carnivora; Felidae.